Molecule: long non-coding RNA, 10694 nt
Filed under: Lynx pardinus (Iberian lynx)
Lineage: Eukaryota; Metazoa; Chordata; Mammalia; Carnivora; Felidae
Source: RNAcentral
GUUUACUACAAUGAGUGUAGGUCUGACUUUGCUUUUUAUUUGCAGUACUUGGAAUUCAUGAGAUUCUUAAAAUUUGGAGUUGAUUUCCUUAUUCAUUGUGAGUAAUUAUUGUUUAUUGACUUUUUUCAUUUUUUAAAUUAACUUUUUGAACAUUGCCUUUCCUACUUUUCUCUCUUCUUUCAUUCUGUGACUGACUACAAAUAAAUUAUGCCUUCAGACUCUCUUCCUUUUGUUACCUCUUACAAUACCUUUUUCAUGUUUUCCAUCAACUUGAUUCGGUCUACUGCGUUCUUAGUGAUGUUUUUUUUCCAUCUACAUUUCCUGGUCACCAAUUCUCUAGUCAGCUGUAAUUUUUAACUUCUCUAUAUAUUUCAUUUCCACUAUUUUCUUUCCUUUCUUUUUUACUUUUUUUUUGGAACUUUGUGAAAAUCUACUUGAACAUUUUCAACAGUCUCUGAUUCUUUGCCCAUGUUUUAGAGCCCAUCAUUUAUUUCUUUGAAUGUUUUUGUAUACACUUUAUAUUUUGUUUUUGAUGACUCCAAUAUCUGAGUCCUUGAGGAUGUAAAUCUAAUACUAAUUAUUUCUGAUUUCAGUAUUUUUCUCACUCAUGGUGGCUCUUUUCCUUGUGUAUUUGAUAUUUUUCUUUCUACUGUAAGCCUAUAUUUACCAGGACUUAAUUUGUAUAUAUUCCAAGAAGCCUAAGUUGAUGAUCUUCUUUCCUGAGUGGUAUUUGUUUUUGUCUUUCUUUCUUUCUUUCUUUCUUUCUUUCUUUCUUUCUUUCUUCUUUCUGUUUCAGGUGUAGAAUUAGUGUGUUUUUUAAAUGGGCAUCAACAGCCUACUUUAAAUCAAAUUCCUGUCUUGGAGUUUCUCUGUCUGGAAUCUUUCUCUGGUUGCCAUAAUGAAUAGACUUACCUGGAGUUAGCCUAUAAUCAUAGUUCUAGGAGUAGGUUAUUACUUCUAUUGUUAUGGUAACUUUCCCACCUGUUAACUGCGGCAGACACACAGGUUUCUUCUUUGGUUCUCCUUGCUACAGACAGGAGGAUGUUUUUAAUAUCCAUAUCUUUACUGAGAAAGGGAUUCUAGUCAGCUAUCUAUCUUCAUGUUGGGGACAGGGGGCAUCCUCACUUACACCCUCCUCCUCCCAUGUUUUGGGGAUCAAAGUUCCAUGUGCUUUUUCCCAUAGGCUGUCCUUUGACACUCAGCCCUAAGUCCUGGGAUCCAUUUUGCCCUGAGGUAGCACAGCUUUAGUAUUUAUUUAUCACUCUGGUUUCAGAAUUUUGUUCCAUUGUUUUUUAGUCCCUGGGGAAUUUCUUUUCUUAUUUUUAAAUUAGUACAUUUAAAGUAAAUUUGUAAUAAUUUAUUAGUAUCUAAGUGUUUUGUGGAUGGAGGGCUUUUCAGAUGAUGUAUGUACUGUAAUGGUAAUGUAUGGAACAAUUAGUAGCAUCUCUACACAUGAGUGAUCUUAGAACAAGUCUACUUCUCCUUUCCAAAAUAAAGCCCUCAUAAAUUUGAAAAUAGCUAUUGAGAUUAAUUCCCUCGUGUCUUUUUUUUUAGUGAGUUAGACUUCCUUCUGACCCAUUACAUGUUUUUCCCCCUUUGACGUUAUUUCAUGUUUACUCAACAUAGUGACCCUUCACCUCAGAUUGCAUUUCAGUUGGCUCUGUCUCUGAACCGAGAAUUGGAAAAGACACUACAGGUAGGUGGUGGGAAGCACAGAGCAGAAUAUCAUCAUCACCUUCUUCAGACUCUUUCAUUAAUUUGGCUUAAAAGUAAAGUUGCCUCUUUUUGUGCAGAAACAUAACAAUUUUCUUGUGCUUAUGGUUUCUUAAUCCAUAUAUCUUUUGUUGAUGUUUGCUAAGCUACACUUCCCAGCUUCAUACUUGUAGAAUGGUUGUUACUAAGAUGAAUGCCAGAAACUGAUAUUUAUAGAAAUAUUGAUAUUUGCCUUUAUCAUUUUCAUCUUAUUAGGUUACACUCAUUAUCUUGGCCUCUUGUGUUCUCUUAGGAGUCUGAGGUCUAAUUUAUUUGGGGUCUCUCCUGGCUUUGAAGCACGUACAGUUAGUCAAUACUUUCUAUUCCGCACAAGUUUUCCUCAGUUAAGUUUCAUAAAUGUAUAUCAACAUAUAGUAUUCUGUUGCAAAUUUUAAGUCCCUACCAACAAAGAUAUUUCUAAAGACGGUUGGUGUGGUUCAUCUUAGAUAUAGAAUAUUAAAGAUAAAGUUAUUAAACCCAGGUGGAGAUUUAGGUCUCAGAAUAUAAACAUAUAAAAAAUAAGAUAUGCAUGUAAAUGUAAACACUGCAGGCUGGAUUAAAAUGCAAAUUAACUUUAAAUUUUAUAACUGCACGCAAAUCCGUGCUGGGUUGGGUGGUUAAAAAUUUAUUUAAUUACUUCUCACAUACAUUUAAAAUGUCUUUGAAAAAUAUGGCACAACACAGGAUAGGAGUUGCAGAAAAUUCACUUCAUCUUUAACAACCUUUGUCAAAACAUUCUUUUCCCUCAUUACCUUAAUUAAUUUGGUCACUAAUUUUAGCACAUGAAUUAGAGAAGAAAAUUUAAACCGAAACACAAUUCAUUUUAAUUGCAUGCAUUAAAAUAACUUUAAAAGAAGAGAAAAUCUUACUCAUCCCCCAAUUCCACCAGUAUUUAUUAUCUGAUUUAUUUGUGACACUAUUCUAAGAGCUGAAGAUAAAGCAGUCAAAAUCCCUGCCCUCAAGGGGCUUAAUCAGAAGACAAAUUUAAAGAAAGAAAGAAAACGAAAAAUCACAUAAUCAAAUAAAUAAUAAAAUUUAAAAAAUAGAAAAUUGAAUAUGUCAGAUUAGGGGAAGUAUUAUGAGAAAAGAAUGAUAGCGAAUAGGUAGCAUCUUUGAGGUAUAGGGGCUGUAAUUGUAAAUUGGUUGGUCAGGAAAGGCUCCCUGAAAAAAAUGACAUUUAAGGAGAGCCACAGUGUAUACUUUUAUAUGGGGAAACAAAAUACAAAAGCUUUAAGGCAUGACAAUAUGUAGACUGUUACAGCGUGUCUGAAAUAGAGUAAGGGGGGAGAUUUGAACAGCAUGAAGUUAAAGUGGAAAAGGUGGAAAAUGGCCAGAUUCUGGCUAUAUUAUGAAGAUAAAACAGAUAGAAUUCAUUAUCAGACUGGAUUUACCACGUGAAUGAAAGAGGGUUCUAUGAUGGAGCCAAAGGUUUUGGUCCGAGCAUCUGUAAUUAUGGAUCAUUCAUUGAGAUGAGAAAGGCUAGGAGGCAAUAAUGCUUGCUAGAGAGAGACUAAGAGUUUAUUUUAGACAUGCUGAGUUUGACAUGCCUAUUAAUCAUCAAGUAGAGACACCUAGUGGGCCGAAUAUCUAAGUCGGAAGUUCAAGUAACCCUGUUAUCUAUGGAGGCAUAACAAACUACUCAAAACUCAGUGGCUUAAAACAAUGAUUCGUCUCUAUUUCUUACAAUUCUGUGGAUUGACAGGGUUCAGCUGAGUGGCUCUUUUCGGGAAUCUCGUGUGGUUGCAGUCAAAUAAGGGCUGGGACUGGAGCCAUUUGAAGACUUGAACUGGUAUGUGAAGAACCCAUUCACAUAGUGCACUGUUGAUGCUGGCUGUUAGCUAGAAGCUCAGCCAGGACUAUCCUCAGAGCAUCUACCUAUGGUCUUUAAUUGUGGCUUUGGUUUGCAUUAUGGCUGGGUUCCAGGAAAGAGAUCCAUGCCAGGAGAAAGCACUUCAAAAAUCCAAAUGCAAGCUGCAGGACUUCUUAUAACCUACUCUUGGAAAUCAUACAGCCUUACUUCUGUUGUAUUCUAUUGGUCAAGAGUAAGUCACAGGGUCAGUCCAGAUUCAAGGAGAGGGAAAUAUACAAGAAUGAGAAUACCGGUAGAUACAGCUCAAGUCAUGCCACUUUUAGAGAUUAGCUACUACAAUUGGAUAUAUAGACUUAGGCAACAUUAGUCAUAUAGAUGGCAUUCAAAGCAAUGCGAUUUAAAUGAAAUCAGUAAGGAAGUAAGAAUAGAGAAAAGAAGGGGCACCUGGGUGGCUCAAUCGGUUAAGUGUCCAACUUUGGCUCAGGACAUGAUCUUGUGGUUCACGAGUUCGAGCCCUGCCUCAGACUGUAUACUGACAGCUCAGAGAUUGGAGCCUGCUUUAGAUUCUGUGUUUCCCUCUAUCUCUGUCCCUUCCCCGCCCAUGCUCUGUCUUUCUCUCAAAAAUAAAUAAAUAAUUAAAAAAUAGAGAAAAAAUAGAUAAUCCCAAACUGAUCUUUAGAAUACUCCAAGAUUUAGAGGUUGAGGAAAAGAGAAAAAGCAAACAAAGAAGAUGAAAAAGAAGGAAGACAUGGAAGGAAAAUCCUGGAUGCCAAAGGAACAGAGGAAGCUACCAUUUAUGGUGAAUGCUGAUGAUCAUUCAAAAUGGGAAAUGAGAGUUGGCCAGUCCAACAUGAAAGCCAUUGGUACAGUUUCAGGAGAGUCACAAGGACAAAAGCUUGACUGCAGUGGUUUCUUGAGAUACUUCCAUGAGAAAAGCUGGAGAGAGCCAGUAUAGAUAGCUCUUAUAAAGCUGCUUAUAAUAAAAGAAAGAGAAAAGUUAAGUAUGUGGUAAGGGACCAUAAAGUCAAAAGAUGAUUAAAAAAAUUUAUUGUGUGGUUUUGAUUUGUAGUUUCCUGAUGAGGAGUGACGUCGAGCAUUUUUUCAUGUGCCUGUUUGCCCUCUGGAUGUCUUCUUUAGAAAAGUGUCUAUUCAUGUCUUCUGCCCAUUUCUUCACUGGAUUAUUUGUUUUUUUGGGUGUGGAGUUUGGUGAGUUCUUUAUAGAUUUUGGAUACUAGCGCUUUAUCCCAUAUGUCAUUUGCAAAUAUCUUUUCCCAUUCCAUCGGUUGCCCUUUACUUUUGUUGAUUGUUUCCUUCGCAGUGCAGAAGCUUUUUAUCUUGAAGAGGUCCCAACAGUUCAUUUUUGCUUUUAACUCCCUUGCCUUUGGAGAUGUGUCAAGUAAGAAACUACUGAGGCUGAGGUCAGAGAGGUUUUUCCUGCUUUCUCCUCUAGGGUUUUGAUGGUUUCCUGUCUCACAUUCAGGUCCUUCACCCAUUUUGAGUUUAUUUUUGUGAAUGGUGUAAGAAAUUGGUCUAGUUUCAUUCUUCUGCAUGUUGCUGUCCAGUUCUCCCAGCACCAUUUGUUAAAGAGACUGUCUGUUUUCCACUGGAUAUUCUUUCCUGCUUUGUCAAAGAUUAAUUGGCCAUAGAUUUGUGGGUCCAAUUCUGGAGUCUCUAUUCUAUUCCAUUGGUCUAUGUGUCUGUUUUUGUGCCAAUACCAUGCUGUCUUGAUGAUUACAGCUUUGUAGUAGAGGUUAAGGUCUGGGAUUGUGAUGCCUCCCACUUUGGUUUUCUUCUUCAAUAUUACUUUGGCUAUUCGGAGUCUUUUGUAGUUCCAUACAAAUUUUAGGAUUGCUUGUUCUAGCUUCGAGAAGAAUGCUGGUGCAAUUUUGAUUGGGAUUGUAUUGAAUGUGUAGAUUGCUUUGGGUAGUUUUGACAUUUUAACAAUAUUUAUUCUUCUAAUCUAUGAGCACAGAAUGUUUUCCCAUUUCUUUGUGGCUUCUUCAAUUUCCUUCAUAAACUUUCUAUAGUUUUCAGCAUACAGAUCUUUUACAUCUUCGGUUAGGUUUAUUCCUAGGUAUUUUAUGUUUGCUGAAUUCAUGUAUCAGUUCUCGCAGACUUUUGGUGGAGUCUGUCGGGUUUUCCAUGUAUAGUAUCAUGUCAUCUGCAAAAAGUGAAAGCUUGGCUUCAUCUUUGACAAUUUUGAUGCCUUUGGUUUCAUUUUGUUGUCUGAUUGCUAAUGCUAGAACUUCCAACACUAUGUUAAACAAUAGCCUCACCCUGGUCAGAGUGGCUAAAAUGAACAAAUCAGGAGACUAUCGAUGCUGGAGAGAAUGUGGAGAAACGGGAACCCUCCUGCACUGUUGGUGGGAAUGCAAACUGGUGCAGCCGCUCUGGAAAACAGUGUGGAGAUUCCUCAAAAAAUUAAAAAUAGGGGCGCCUGGGUGGCUCAGUUGGUUAGGCGACCUACUUCAGCUCACAUCAUUAUCUCAUGGUUCGUGGGUUCAAGUCCGGCAUCAGACUGUGUGCUGACAGCUCAGAGGCUGGAGCCUGCUUCGGAUCUGUGUCUCCCCUCUCUCUGCCCCUCUCCUGCUCAUGCUCUGUGUCUCUCUGUCUGUCAAUAAUAAAUAAACAUUAAAAAAAAUAGAUCUACCCUAUGGCCCAGUAAUAGCCCUGCUAGGAAUUUACCCAAGGGAUACAGGAGUGCUGAUGCAUGGGGGCACUUGUACCCCAAUGUUUAUAGCAGCACUUUCAACAAUAGCCAAAUUAUGGAAAGAGCCUAAAUGUCCAUCAACUGACAAAUGGAUAAAGAAGAUGUGUUUUAUAUAUACAAUGGAAUACUACUUGGCAGUGAGAAAGAAUGAAAUCUGGCCAUUUGUAGGAACAUGGAUGGAACUGGAGAGUGUAAUGCUAAGUGAAAUAAGUCAGGCAGAGAAAGACCUUAUGUUUUCACUCAUAUGUGGAUCCUGAUAAACUCAACAGAAGACCAGCAGGAAGGAGAAGGGAGAAAAAAUGUUACAGAGAGGGAAGGAGGCAAACCAUAAGAGACUCUUAAAUAUUGAGAAUAAACUGAGGGUUGAUGGGGGGUCAGGGGGCAGGGAAAGUGGUUGAUGGGCAUUGAGGAGGGCACCUGUUGGGAUGAGCACUGGGUGUUGUAUGGAAACCAAUUUGAGAAUAAAUUUCAUAUAAAAAACAAAAAAUAAAAAAAAAAUUAAUGUUUAUUUAUUUUUGAGAGAGAGUCAGAGUGUGAGUGGGGGCGGGGCAGACAGAGAUGGAGACACAGAAUCUGAAUCAGGCUCCAGGCUGGGAGCUGUCAGCACAGAGCCACACAUGGGGCUCGAACUCAUAAGCAGUGAGAUCGUGACCUGAGCAGAUUCUGACACCCAACAGACUGAGCCACCCGGGCGCCCCAAAAAGAUGAUUUUUUAAAGAUAAGAAUGUGUUUAUAUGCUGAAAGGAAUUAUUCAAUGUAAAGAUAAAAAACAAGGAUCUAAAUUGACCAAGGAGAAUUGUUGGCUCUCUGUCCUCAAGUAGGAGAGAGAACACUAAUGGAAGGACUGACUUUAGAUUUGUUGUGUGGAAAAUGCAUCCGUUAUGAUAAGAAGAAAGGCAGGAAAAUACGGACAUUGAUACAGAUUAGCAGCUAGCUAAGAUAGUAGGGUAUUUAGAAUUUCUCUCCUGUUUGCUGGUAUUUUCUCAGUGAAGUAUCCAGUAAGGUCAUCAACAGAGCAACAGAAACAGGUGUUGGAGGUUGAGAGAGAAAUAUGAAAGAGUUAUUAAGGAAUUGUGGGAAAGUAUGUAUGGAAAGUGGAUGAAAGGAAUGCAGCAUUGUAAGGCUACAGUGGGCCCCACAUGAGGAGAGUGAUUAUGCACUUAAAAUAAGAUCAGUCCUAUAAUGUGAUAUAUAGGUAUAGAGAUUACAGAGACUGAUAGAGCAAUGCUGAGAGUGGGUAUUUUCUCUUUAGGCAUCAAAAAUAACAGGGCAAAAUUUUGGUCUCGUAUCAGAGGAAGGGAAAACUAUGUUUACUACAAUAGUUGGAUGCAAUAAUCAUUAUAAAUAAUCAGAAAUAUAGUUUCAGUAUUUUGUAACUAUUAUAACCUAUAUUCUUAAACACUCUCACAAGAGGAUUUGGACAAACAACAGCUGGAAAUAAUUUUUUAAUGAAGUUAUUAUGAUUAAGACUUUCAAAUUUUGCCUCAAACUAUGAAACCAUAGUUCCAUGAAUGGACUGGUAACUUUCUCUAUAUUUAAUGACUUAAACAUAAGGGCAAUUGUUUCAAAAGUAUACAUGCCUAGGGCCUCCUGGGUGGCUCAGUCGGUUAAUCAUCCACUUCAGCUCAGCUCAUGAUCUCAUGGUCCAUGAGUUUGAGCCCCGCGUUGGACUCUGUGCUGACAGCUCAAAGCCUGGAGCCUGCUUCAGAUUCUAUGUCCCCCCUCUCUCUUCCCCUCACUCACUCACGCUCUGAUCUCUCUCUCAAAAAUAAAUAAACAUUAAAAACAUUAAAAAAUAUAUUUUAAGUAUCUUAUUUCAAGUAGCAGGAGAAGGUUGAAAAAGUUCUCAAAGCUUGGAAACAUGACAGUAAGGGAUUAUAAUGCAAAUAGCCAUUGUGAUUCUGAAAAUGGAUUAUUUAGUUAGUUACUUAGUCUAAAUGGUUAGUGUCUAUUAUAAUUUUUGGAGAGGAAGAAAAAAUGAAAAUAAUUCACCGCUUAUAUUAAAAACAGUAAUUUCUUUUUAGUGUUGAAAAUUUGGAAAAUACAUAUAUGUGUUUUAAUUAAUUAAAUCGAAACCUUAUGAUUAAGGGAUAUUUGUGCCAGGCACGUGCUGGGUGCUGGAUAUUGGUGAGGACUAAAACCAGGCCUCCCCUUAGGAAAUUCAUAAAUAAAAGCACACAGAAAAAAAUUGAAAAAUUAUGUUUUCUCUCCUAAGUCAAAGAUCAGCUGAAAUAAAUAAAUAGUUUGGUGUAUUUCAGUAGGAUUGACCCAUUGGAAGCCUGACCACAUGCUUUUCAGAAACAUUUGGGGAACUGGCAUUUGUAUUAGUUGCACAAUUGAUAAGGUCAGGGAGCCACUUAGAUCAGACCUGAGUCAUUGAGAACUGUGGGCAUGCCUUGGUAUACUGGUAUUUACCCUAUGCAGGCAUAGAUUAUCAUACAUGGAAGGUGAUGAGAUGCGCUUUGCUCAGAUGAGAUGGUUUCAAGCACAUAUUCACACUUGCAUAUGCAGAACUGCCUCAGUCUGAUGCUUUGAGGUCUAGAUGAGCUUUGAUUGAGUUUACAGAAGAUAUGAUGUAACUCUUACUCUUUCAAAUGUGGCCUUUGAAGUUGUGUUCUAACUAAUGAAGAUGGGGAACAACAAGCAUAAGUCUCCCUCCAAGAACGCUGCUGUUCACUUUGCUACAUAGACUGGUUCCGGUUAGUUUCUUCUUUAUCUUCUGAAUAGGGAAAUCUUGUUUGAUUGUUCAGGUGUAGUCUGUAUGGAAUCCCUCUGUCAAUCUGUACUUAUUAAUUACAAUUGUUAAUAUGUUGGUUAUGAAGGGGUAUAUAUAUAUAUAUAUAUAUACACACACACAUAUAUAUGCACACAUAAUGCUCUUUAUUUGUGUACAUGUCUAUGUUUAUAAAAUACAUAUAUUUGCUGAUGUCAUAUCACCAACAGACAUAUUGUCUUUGUUACGUAAUAUAUUAUGUACACUUUUGUAUGUCCUUAUAUGUUUUUGAUAACAUGAUUUUUAAUGGGAUCACUAAAUUUAAUCUGAUGGAAACAAUACAAUUUACUUAUCCCAGCCCUUAUUUUUGGAAAUUUGGGUUCAUUCUAGUUAAUAUUAUAAGUAACACUAUGAACAUCAAUGUACAUAUUUGACUAUAUUCCUGAUGAUUUUUUGGAAUGUUAUUUUAUGUAUACUUUAUGUAAGUGAUACACAAUAAAAAUUAUUUUAAGUUUAAGAAUGCCAAAAUAUGGUUAAGAAUGUGUUAAAUUUAUAUUUCUACCUACCUUAUUAUUAUCAUAUAUAGCAUACUAUAUAAGUAAAUAUUUUCUAACUUCUUGGAUCAUGAAUGGCAUGUAACUUUUUAAAAUAUACAUUCAGAACAUCUAAUUUGAUAUUUAUCAUUUUAGUCAAUAUUUGCCAAUAUUGUUUUGUUUUAAAUAAGUUAUAUGGCCAUGAUUUAAGUGAUUUAAAUCUUACUACUUUGUUAAGAGUUCUUUGUUUAUGAACAUUAUUAGCAAUUUGUUGUUUGCUUCAUUUUGUAUACGUUUUGCUUUAUCUUUUUACACGUGUCUACAUUGUGGGCAAAUACAUCAGUCAUUCCCAUCAUGUUUAAAUACGUUUAGAAACUCCUCCAUUAUAAUAGUAGCAAAACAAUGAAUUUACAUAGAUUUCUUGUCUCUUAAUUGAUGUAAAGUAUAACUAUGUAGUUCAUCUGGAAUUUAGUUUGGUCUAAGAGAGGAAGUUAGGGUCUAACUUCUGUUUCUUCUUUUUCUUCUUUUCCUCCUCCUCUUUAUUAUUAUUGUUAUUACCAUCAUUUUCAUUAUUUGUGGUAUGUAGCAUAUAAGAUGGCCCAAAUAAUCCUUAUUUUCUGGGCAUGAACAACCUUGUGGGAGCCUCUCUUCUUAGUUCAUUUGCUUCUAGCCAAUAGAAGAGUAUUAUGUUGAAAGAUACCAUUUUCAUGAUAGAUUACCAAAGAGUCUGACUUUAUCUUUCUAGCACAAUGUCUCCCUUGAUGGCUUUGAGGAAACCAGUCACCAUGUUGGGGAGGAUCACAUGGCAAGGAACGGAAGAUGUCUGCUGGCCAUGAGCCAGCAAAGAACUGAAUCCUGCCAACAAUGAAAUGAGUUUGGUAGUAAAUCCUUCUCCAUUGAAGCCUCCAUAUAAGACCACAGGGUUGGUAGCAGCUUAAUUGCAGCCUUGUAACAGAUCCUGAAGCAGAGUAUCCAACUAAGUUGUGCCUGAUGCCUGACACUCAGAAACUGUGAAGUAAUAAAUGUUUGCUGUUAAGACACUAAUUUUUAAAAUUUGUUGUUAUAUUGUAAUAAAUAAUUUGCUGAUUUUAUUAAUAUUUUGUUAAUUACUUGUUAACACAGUAUCAUUUUAAAAAAAUUAAUGCUUAUUUAUUUUUGAGAAAGAGAGAGACAGAG